CUAGUUGGUAGGGUAAUGGUCUACCAAGGCUUUGAUCGUUAGCUGGUCUGAGAGGAUGGCCAGCCACACUGGAACUGAGACACGGUCCAGACUCCUACGGGAGGCAGCAGUGGGGAAUCUUGCACAAUGGGCGAAAGCCUGAUGCAGCGACGCCGCGUGGGGGAUGAAGCUUUUCGGAGUGUAAACCCCUUUCGAUCCGGACGAAUGCCUCGCAAGAGGAGUGACGGUACGGAUAUAAGAAGCCCCGGCUAACUACGUGCCAGCAGCCGCGGUAAUACGUAGGGGGCCAGCGUUGUUCGGAAUUACUGGGUGUAAAGGGUUCGUAGGCGGUGUGGCAAGUUGGGAGUGAAAUCUCUGGGCUCAACCCAGAGACGGCUUCCAAAACUGCCGUGCUUGAGUGUGAGAGAGGCUCGUGGAAUUGCAGGUGUAGCGGUGAAAUGCGUAGAUAUCUGCAGGAACACCCGUGGCGAAAGCGGCGAGCUGGAUCACUACUGACGCUGAAGAACGAAAGCUAGGGGAGCAAACAGGAUUAGAUACCCUGGUAGUCCUAGCCCUAAACGAUCAGGACUUGGGGUGCCACCCGUUCGGGUGGCGUCCCGGAGCUAACGCGUUAAGUCCUGCACCUGGGGAGUACGGUCGCAAGACUGAAACUCAAAGGAAUUGACG
Molecule: ribosomal RNA, 666 nt
Filed under: uncultured Acidobacteriota bacterium
Lineage: Bacteria; Pseudomonadati; Acidobacteriota
Description: SSU rRNA
Rfam family: Bacterial small subunit ribosomal RNA
Source: RNAcentral